Eupeodes corollae is the source of this 1148-nucleotide long non-coding RNA. RefSeq lists it as uncharacterized. The transcript is spliced from 2 exons. Lineage: Eukaryota; Metazoa; Arthropoda; Insecta; Diptera; Syrphidae. The record is from RefSeq and is a predicted model, not a curated record.
UGAUAGUUUCCAGAAUAAAGCACACAAUUUUAAAAGUAAUAUUUUCUAUUUACUAUUUGUUUACAAAUUACAACUGAUUAUAAAAAAACGAAAAUUAACAAAUUUAUUCAAUUUAGACAUAUCAAAAGACCGAUUACGUACGAGUACGAAUGCGUUCGCGUUGGAAUCGCAAUUAUUCUUUGUACCAUACUUUUUUUCUUUAUCUAAACUAUGAAUCAUAUCCGAGCCGAAGACGACGACGAAGAGUAAGGAUGAGGAAUAAGAACCAAGAACAAGAAUAUAAAAUUAAAGAAUAAAAUCAAAAUCACUAACAUGGAAGCAAAAACGACGAUGGGCAAAAAUUUUUAUUUUUAUAUUAUUUCGUAUCCGACUGAAACUGAACCUGAAGUAAGACGACCGGAAAUGGAAUUUUUAUCACACACUUGAACCCACACAAAGCCCAGUUAUGAGCAUUUGGAAUUAUCGGAAGAAAAAAAAAAAUAUAAAAGAAUCUUUUCACACUCACGAAAGACGACUUCUUUUAAAACCUGCAUAAAUGAAGCUGAAGCCCACACCAAGUUUAAAAGAAUUUUUUGGAACUCAUUCCCAUCGCACUCAAUUGAAGCUGACGAAGUGAAGGUGAUGCAGGAAAAAUCAAUUAUCUAAAGAAGUAACACUUUUCAGGCACGGCACAUUUAAAUCGGCCAGCAGUACUGUUUUGCUUUUGCUUCGUUUCCUCCAACAACACACCGAAGUGAGAUUUUUUCAUUUUCCUAUUGGCGUCUUGGCGUAUGGAAUUCUUAUAGGAUUCAAUGAAAUUUAUGAUUUUCAAUGCAAUAAAAUGGAGCACAGGUAAAACUAAACUAAAAAUAAAUACAAGAAAGAUGAAAGAAACUCUUACAAAGUGCCACAAGACUCCCGAGUCUUCUCGUCAGAGUUGAGUUAUCGCCGAAGCAUUUUAUUUUUCUUUCCUUCUUUUUGUUGAAACAACGACGGACGAAUUUGAGGAACGCGAAAAAACACCGGCGAUAAUCGUGUGUUAAAUAAAUGCCGAAUGGUAAUAAUUUAAUUAAUAGCAAAUCUCAAUUUCAAUAAGCAAAAAUAACAUAAAACAAAGAUUUUAUUCAGGAAACAAUCUUGAAUAAAAAUUUAUUGAAAAACAGUCGAAA